RNAcentral lists this ribosomal RNA (493 nucleotides) under uncultured bacterium. Its description in RNAcentral is "partial 16S ribosomal RNA". The stretch from base 67 to 493 matches the Rfam family "Bacterial small subunit ribosomal RNA", at positions 39 to 507 of the family's 1533-position model. The record is from RNAcentral.
GGGGGGGGGGGGGGGGGGGGGGGGGGGGGGGGGGGUGGGGGGGGGGGGCGGUGGGGGGGGGGGGGGGCGGGGGGCGGGGGGCGGACGGGGGGGGGGUGCAUCGGCCUCUGCUUUUUCGUGGGGGAUAACGGAGGGACGCUUACGCUGAUACCGCAUGCGGCCUGCGGGUGACCGCCGGGGAGCUGCGGCCCUUGCGCGAUUGGAGGCGCCGAUGUCGGAUUAGCUAGGUGGCGGGGUAAAGGCCCACCAAGGCGACGAUCCGUAGCUGGUCUGAGAGGAUGAUCAGCCACACUGGAACUGAGACACGGUCCAGACUCCUACGGGAGGCAGCAGUGGGGAAUAUUGGACAAUGGGCGCAAGCCUGAUCCAGCCAUACCGCGUGGGUGAAGAAGGCCUUCGGGUUGUAAAGCCCUUUUGUUGGGAAAGAAAAGCAGCAGGUUAAUACCCCGCUGUUCUGACGGUACCCAAAGAAUAAGCACCGGCUAACUUCGUG